RNAcentral lists this ribosomal RNA (441 nucleotides) under uncultured bacterium. RNAcentral describes it as "partial 16S ribosomal RNA". It matches the Rfam family "Bacterial small subunit ribosomal RNA", at positions 30 to 507 of the family's 1533-position model. The record is from RNAcentral.
UGAACGCUGGCGGCAUGCCUAACACAUGCAAGUCGAUCGGUAAGGCUCUUCGGAGUACACGAGAGGCGGACGGCUGAGUAACGCGUAGGAACACACCCUGCAGUGAGGGAUAAGACACCGAAAGGUGUUCUAAUACCGCAUACGGUCUUCGGAUUAAAGCAUUUAUGCGCUGAAGGAGUGGCCUGCGUCAUAUUAGAUAGUUGGUGAGGUAAUGGCUCACCAAGUCGAUGAUGUGUAGCUGGUCUGAGAGGAUGAUCAGCCAGACUGGAACUGAGACACGGUCCAGACUCCUACGGGAGGCAGCAGUGAGGAAUAUUUCACAAUGAGCGAAAGCUUGAUGGAGCAAUGCCGCGUGCAGGAUGAAGGCCCUCGGGUUGUAAACUGCUUUUAUAAGAGAAGAUUAUGACGGUAACUGAUGAAUAAGGGACGGCUAACUACGUG